ACACUCUUGCACUAUGGAGAGCAUUGAUGACCCCUUGACAGACAGCCAAAAACCAUCUGCCAACACCACCCUACCACCACCACCACCAUCAACAUCACAACGACCCCACCCAAACCCUGGUCCCGCAAAGGCAGGAAGCAACACAAGCAGCUACAGAGCACCAAGAGGUCUCAUAACACAGCCAGAGAUGGGAAAACUAGGGAGUGACUGUUCGAGGGAGCGAGCUCGCCCCUGGACACUGGACACACUACUCGCUGUAAAACACUUUCCAUUUCCUGUGACUGCUCCCUCCUGCUAUCUGUCGUUGGGUCAAGGUGUUGCGUCCCCCUCCUCUCCGCUCUAUCCACCUGCUCGUGCCACGGAGGAUCGGACACCCUAAGAAUCCCAUGAAUGGUUUUUGCCUCAUUGGAAGUACUGUGUUUGAAACUGCUAACUGCUUUGAAUGAGGGAUUCCUCACAUCCCUCUCUCCUCGCCUCUAGAGCAGGAGCUCCAGAGCAAAGACGGGAUCAUUACAUACCGGACCCUGUUGCUUCUCAGACCACCUCGCGAGGCCGCUACAAACCGAACUGAGCGCUCUCUGCUGUGAAUAGGCCUUCUGCUGGAGUAAACCUCCCAUAUUUUUAUAGACCAAAGAGCAAAAACAACAAAUGCGAUCACUACGACAGGGUGGACCAAGUGGACAAGACACACAGAGACUUUGUGAACUUGAUGUUUGUGUCGCCCGGCGUCCGGCGGCACAAUCCAAGGAGUGCUUUUAAAACUUUCCGGACAUUUUUUUCUCAGACUAAGCCCACCACUGUAUUUUGGAACUGGAGAUAUAGGUACUACAUACGUAUAACUGUGUAUCAAAAAAAAAAAAAUCUGAUUUGCAUUUUUCAGUAGCUACAGUUGGGACGGCCUGCAGGAAGCAGCGUGGAGUUGGUUACGGAAAUCCUAUAAAAGAGACGAUGAUAUCUACAGAGAGUAUAAAUGCUAUUGAGUCUGAAAAGAAAGAGUAAAGAAAUGUCAUUAAAUGUAUUUUGAAAGGCCCUAAAAAGUUAUAUAUUUAACAGUUUUAUAUGUUGUACCUUUGUAGAGAAGCUUAUUGGACUUAAAAUGUGGUCACAAUGGCAGUUUAGUAGGAUGUGAACAAAUGCUGUUGUUCUCAUGACUGCUGGCUCGUAGUCCCAGGUUUUCUGUUCACACCUCAGUAGCCGCUUUCUUUUCAUGGUCAUCUACAAGUCACUGUCUAUCAGAAGCAUUAAUGAAAAAAAGGAAAGUGACACAAUUUAUUGAGGACUGAUCUGCAGCCAACUGAACAUUGUAAAUCUAUGGUAGUCAGUGGAAGCCAUUGAAAUCUGCUAAUUUGCUAUUGUAUUGUACACGGUGUGGAAUACUGACUCAUUUCCUCUCUAUGGGUUUUGAUCUCUUAAUUUAUUUUUGUGUUUGUUCUCGCACAAAUCUGGCCUCUCUCUGACGGCGACGAAUACAACAAAGAGAGAAAAGGGAAGCAUUGCAGAAGCAUUAGAGUCAUUUACAUACAUUUUUUUUAUCAUGGAAUAUUUUAAGAAUAAAUUAAAUACAUGAAAAGAAACAUCCUCUGCACAUUUAGAUGGUCUUGGUGUUCAAGGUCAUCAAAGGGAAAUGUAAAUGGUCUUAUUCUGGUUUUCUG
Cottoperca gobio is the source of this 1652-nucleotide long non-coding RNA. Lineage: Eukaryota; Metazoa; Chordata; Actinopteri; Perciformes; Bovichtidae. The record is from Ensembl.